Small nuclear RNA from Nomascus leucogenys (northern white-cheeked gibbon), 106 nucleotides. NCBI's taxonomy places the organism in Eukaryota, Metazoa, Chordata, Mammalia, Primates, Hylobatidae. The record is from Ensembl.
GUCUCGCUUCGGCAGCACAUAGACUAAAAUUGGAAGGAUAUAGAGAAGAUUAGCAUGGCCCCUGCACAAGGAUGACAUGCAAAUUUGUGAAGCAUUCCAUAUUUAA